GAUCUGUUAGUAUCAGUUUGGUAGACGGGUGCUUACGACGCAAGGCGAUUUCUUACGUGACGUCAUAGCACAGCAAGAGAGCGACAUGAUCAACUGGAAGGUAAGCGGCGAAUUGGAUGUCCUGGAUAAUUUCCCUGUGCUGCUUUAUAUUCUAGCAGCAAAAACUCUUAUCCUUUGCUUGGCAUUUGCUGGUACAAAGAUUUAUCAAAGCAAAAAGGCAGAGGCAGCACUGAAGCGGCAGCAGGAACUGAAGAGGAAAGCAGAAUCCAACCAAACCGAGGAGUGCAAGAAAGACGACUAAAAACAGGGUGUGAAAACAUUCCCCUGGCUAACUCGCUAGACGUUUUCUGUUGUACCUGCUGUUCCUUGGAUCGACAAGAUUGAAAGCUGAAAGAUGACCAGUUUCGGGAAAUUUCGCCUGACCCUGAUGACAUCACUUCCAGUCUUGACCCUGAUGGCUUCAAUUCUGGUCCCGAGGACAUCACUUCCGGUUCUGGUCCAAAGCUUGAUGACAUCACUUUCACCUUGCUUUAAAACCACCAUCUUUACUUCAUCCAGUUAGUUCUGUUUUGGACUCCAAUCUGCACACUACUGUACAAUUAAUUUACCAAUUUUGCAUCCGGGUUCAAGUACAUGGGAGGCUGCCCCAUUCCUG
RNA transcript from Polypterus senegalus (gray bichir), 655 nucleotides. It is a transcript of the gene named small integral membrane protein 11A-like, with no coding region annotated. The record is from RefSeq and is a predicted model, not a curated record. The transcript has 4 exons. NCBI's taxonomy places the organism in Eukaryota, Metazoa, Chordata, Cladistia, Polypteriformes, Polypteridae.